CUUUUUUUCCGCGCCAAAACUCAAAACUUACUGCCAGCACGUCCCAUUGCGUACUCGGAAGGGAGGGGGGGAAAUUGAGCUAAAGCCGUUCCUUAUGACACCUGUAAAUUACUUCUCACUAUUCUAUAUAAAAUUUCACAGUUCGCAAAGAGGGGAGAAAGAAAGUUAAUAGUAGACUUUUUUUUUCCCCUGAAGGGAUACCCCCUAUUUUCUUUAGGAGAUAGUUUAGUCCAUUGUCUUGUGAGUUAAAUUUUUAAAGCUUAACCCUUUUUACCACGCAUAGCCGCAAGAAUAAAGGAAGAGCGCCAUCUAAAGGCCAGAGGAUAGACAAGACGGAUAUUGCGAAGAAAUUGUCCUGUAAUUUUUACAGGCAUUUAUCUGCAAACUGGUAACAUUGUACAGUACGGUAGCUGCUAUGUGGCUUUGGAGACGGACUAGGAGAGGGAGGCAUGUCAAGGAGUGGCAUGGAGAACAGCCGAAAUCUGUAGUUCUUCCACGUACAGUCCACGCUCACCUGACAACCAAGAGCUGCUCUUAGGAAGGUCAAUACAUUUGCAGAAACAGGAGCUGCUCCUGUAAUCAUUAGUUUGACUUUUCCUCCCAGAUUUGCCUAAGGAAAGGAAAAAAACAAACAAACCCCAAACAUCGUCACUUCAACAACCACAGGGAAGCCAAAAAUCUAUGGUGAGUGGCACUUGGAUCAUACUUGGAAGAAUAUUCAACAGCCCAAAUCCCUUGAACUCUUUCCAAAUAUGUGUGUUUGAAGGCAGCCUGGAGUCACAUGAAUGAAUAGAUUAUUCUUUCAAGGAGCAUUUGUUACAGUGCUGCUGCCAGGUAUGUUUUACCCUGUCACUUCAUCUAAAACUAACACAGGCCAUGAAAUAUUGUUAAAUAGUCCUUCUGAAACCAAAUAUGGGUAUUAAGAAAGACCAUAUUGGGCCUCACCUGGCAAUGCUAUAACAGAAAGAAGAGGCAACCUAUUCCAUUUACACAAUAAUAAAUUUUACUGCCCCAACAGGAAGGGAAUCAUAUUUGCAUUACACUGCAUCAUAUCCAAAUACACAUAAUACGUGAUUAA
This is a non-coding RNA of Pantherophis guttatus, 1078 nucleotides long. Lineage: Eukaryota; Metazoa; Chordata; Lepidosauria; Squamata; Colubridae. The record is from RefSeq and is a predicted model, not a curated record.